UACGAAGGAGGCUAGCCUUGCUCGGAAUCACUGGGCGUAAAGCGCACGUAGGCGGCUUCUUAAGUCAGGGGUGAAAUCCUGGGGCUCAACCCCAGAACUGCCCUUGAUACUGAGGAGCUUGAGUACGGGAGAGGUGAGUUGAACUCCGAGUGUAGAGGUGAAAUUCGUAGAUAUUCGGAAGAACACCAGUGGCGAAGGCGGCUCACUGGCCCGGUACUGACGCUGAGGUGCGAAAGCGUGGGGAGCAAACAGG
This 253-nucleotide ribosomal RNA is filed under the name uncultured bacterium. RNAcentral describes it as "partial 16S ribosomal RNA". It matches the Rfam family "Bacterial small subunit ribosomal RNA", at positions 524 to 776 of the family's 1533-position model. The record is from RNAcentral.